GCUAGCGUAGCUUAGUUAAAGCGUAACACUGAAGAUGUUAAGAAGAACCCUAAAAAGUUCCGGGAGCA
This 68-nucleotide transfer RNA is filed under the name Uranoscopus sp. ZY-2022. RNAcentral's name for it is "tRNA-Phe". It matches the Rfam family "tRNA". Rfam says of the family: Transfer RNA (tRNA) molecules are approximately 80 nucleotides in length. Their secondary structure includes four short double-helical elements and three loops (D, anti-codon, and T loops). The record is from RNAcentral. Lineage: Eukaryota; Metazoa; Chordata; Actinopteri; Uranoscopiformes; Uranoscopidae.